Molecule: long non-coding RNA, 711 nt
Filed under: Varroa destructor (honeybee mite)
Lineage: Eukaryota; Metazoa; Arthropoda; Arachnida; Mesostigmata; Varroidae
Description: uncharacterized LOC111251482, transcript variant X2
Source: RNAcentral
AUUGUUCUACUGCGAUAAUGAAGCAAUAUAAGGGCUUGGGUGGAAAAGUGGCUGGACCCGAGCCACUGAUCUCAUUUCAGUUAACUGAAAUAGAGAUUCUACCAAAAACACAUAGUAACGAAAUAAUUAAAUAGUCCUUAUUAUUUAUUUCAGCUAUGGGACCUACGAGAAUACUACGAAGUGUUUGCAAUGUAGUUCAUUGAAAACUCCCAUGCGCUGUUCUCGAACUGCGCAGAUGUUGGCUAUUGGCAGCGCUACAGUUGUAGGGUCACCGGCUCCUCCGCGGGCUGUACUGGACCACUUGGUACCGGCGAAGCCCAAGAUAGUAUAAGAUGAAAUAUGAAAUUAUAUGAUUCAAUGUGAAAACCUGGUGAUGGCGCUGCUGUUGCUUAAAGGCCUGCCAACGUGACAAAAUGUACACACACGUAUGGGCAAUGUUCUACACCUCUUAAUAAUUGUUGUAAAGAGUAACGAAUUCAGGAACGCAAAUCCUUAUCUUCGUGAAGGAACGAGUUCGUUGGCAGGGUUCGUUGACCGUUCCAGUUGGUUGGGUUCGGCUUAAAAAAGUCGAAAUUCAAACAGUCGAUAAAACCGGAAUCGAUCUCCUGCAUCCGGUGUUUCGCUGGGAAUAUGCAUUAAGCCAAAUACAUGAAGCAGCGGGCUUGGUCUAAUAAUGUUUCAUAAACACGCAACAAGUAGACAUAUCAAUAA